GAGGGAUGACGGCCUUCGGGUUGUAAACCUCUUUCACCAGGGACGAAGCUUUUGUGACGGUACCUGGAGAAGAAGCACCGGCCAACUACGUGCCAGCAGCCGCGGUAAUACGUAGGGUGCGAGCGUUGUCCGGAAUUACUGGGCGUAAAGAGCUCGUAGGCGGUUUGUCGCGUCGUCUGUGAAAUUCUGCAGCUUAACUGCAGGGCGUGCAGGCGAUACGGGCAGACUUGAGUACUACAGGGGAGACUGGAAUUCCUGGUGUAGCGGUGAAAUGCGCAGAUAUCAGGAGGAACACCGGUGGCGAAGGCGGGUCUCUGGGUAGUAACUGACGCUGAGGAGCGAAAGCGUGGGUAGCGAACAGGAUUAGAUACCCUGGUAGUCCACGCCGUAAACGGUGGGUACUAGGUGUGGGGCUCAUUUCACGAGUUCCGUGCCGUAGCUAACACAUUAAGUACCCCGCCUGGGGGAGUACGGCCGCAAGGCUAAAACUCAAAGGAAUUGACGGGGGCCCGCACAAGCGGCGGAGCAUGUGGAUUAAUUCGAUGCAACGCGAAGAACCUUACCUGGGUUUGACAUACACCA
Molecule: ribosomal RNA, 582 nt
Filed under: Gordonia sp. (in: high G+C Gram-positive bacteria)
Lineage: Bacteria; Bacillati; Actinomycetota; Actinomycetes; Mycobacteriales; Gordoniaceae
Description: bacterial SSU rRNA
Rfam family: Bacterial small subunit ribosomal RNA
Source: RNAcentral